Non-coding RNA from Carica papaya (papaya), 242 nucleotides. The record is from RefSeq and is a predicted model, not a curated record. Lineage: Eukaryota; Viridiplantae; Streptophyta; Magnoliopsida; Brassicales; Caricaceae.
UGAUAGAGAUUGUGAGUGGAAAAGAAACAUUAAUUUCGUUGUGAAGAUCUCUCUCAAAUUCUCCAAAUAUGGGCAUGGAAAGAGUGGAAAAAAGGUAAAGUAUUGGAGAUAAUAGAUUCAUCAAUACGUGAUACAUGUUCUGUUCAGCAAGUUGAAAGGUGUAUUAACAUCGGAUUGUUAUGUGUUCAAGAAGCACCAAUUGAUCGACCAACUAUGUCUUCAGUGAUUUUGAUGUUAGAAAA